CAAACAUUAGAAAUAUCUUCAGCGAGGACAUGAGGUCACCAAAUCUAGAUAGAGGGAGAUUUGAGACGCCCCAUGUCCGGAGACUUGAGUCCCUCCUGCAGCAGCCGCAGGUCAUUCAAACCACGAACUGAACCACAGCUGAAUCCUGGUCGAGUUCUGAAGCUGCAGUCUGGUUUCUAUCACAUCAUCUUCCCCCCCGACAGUUUGUUUCCCACCUCCCGCCUCUCGAACACUGGCUUCAAGAUAAUGAUUUUAAAAAGGUUUUGAUUAAUCACCAGAAACUCUGUGUUGCAGCAACGGCCCGGAAUCUUUUCCAGAUAAGAACCUCGAGAAUUCUGUUCCUGACAGUAAGUGGGAGGCUGAUCGAUGGAUUUUUGCAGCUCGUGAAAUAACUGGUGGAUAAACGAUCCUCGAGUUUACACAACAACUAAACAGCAACUACAGCUACUUUGUGUGUGUGUGUGUGUUUUUUUUUGUGCGCCUGCUGCUAUCUGAUGUCGUGAUAAAGCUUCGUGAGCCAAAGAAAGUCGACCAUCUCAGCAAAGGGGAAUGACAAACUGACACAAAGUGCGUUUGAGGCGCAAACACAAAAUGUUGUGUUAUAUGUCACAGUGUGUGUGUUUGGGAGUUCACCAGUUUGUCUUCUCUGGUGUGUGAGUCUGUCCGACACGCCUCGGCCUCUCGCUCUCUCCAAGACAAACAAGGGAGAAGGGAGUUAGAGCGAAGUCAGGCGAUGAGUCAUGCUGAUUUAUCAAAACCACCGUUGGGGGGGGGGAAAUCCUCUGAGCGAGGUCGACUUUGUGAAACUCAUGUUACACAACUCAUUUGUCGUGAUGAGGCUUUAGCGCCGCUGAGCCUCGUGAGACCCGUUUGUUUCUAAUGUCGGUUCCGGCUGCGUGGGGCGGCUCCUGGGUGGCACCGGGGUUUUUACUCGUCCUUCUUCUUCAUGUCAAAGCGCUUUCCUGCAUUUCUGACUUCUCAUGGCUGCGGCUUUGAUGCACGGUCAAAUUUCAGGCCACAUCAGAUAAGAGAGACUUUUUUUUAGCCGGACUCUGAGGUGGAGGAGAACGGCUCUGAGAGGAUGUUUCAACACACGACAAUGUGCAACCGGCUGCUCUUUAAAGUCAAGGAACACAGAGGGAAUCAGGAGCCAGAGCUGGUUACAACUUAUAAGUCACAAUAAGUGUUUAGGAAGUUCAGAUUUCAGUCUCACGUCAAGUUAAUCGCAAGCACCAGGUGUAGCCAGGCUAGCUGUUUCCCCCUGCUUCCAGCAAUUAUGCUAAGCUAAGCUAAUUAACGUGAAUAAACCUUGGAAUUAGGACAUUUGACGAAAAGAAGAUGAGAAAUGGAUUUGAACUCUUAAAGGCUGUGGUUUCUUCAGAACGUGGUGCCGCCCUGUGGAGCCCUGUACGCUGCUGCUGCUGCUGUCACCAGUGAUGUAAUGUGGAAACUUGUUUUGUCCCGUCCGGGGC
This is a long non-coding RNA of Pleuronectes platessa (European plaice), 1472 nucleotides long. RefSeq lists it as uncharacterized. NCBI's taxonomy places the organism in Eukaryota, Metazoa, Chordata, Actinopteri, Pleuronectiformes, Pleuronectidae. The transcript has 3 exons. The record is from RefSeq and is a predicted model, not a curated record.